UAUCAUCUCUUUUGCAACACUUUUGUUCAAACUUAGUCCUCACAAGUACACACUUGCACGAAGCUUACAAAAGAAAAUACAAUUAUAAUGGCUCAACCAGAAUAUGAAGUCAUCUUUAGGAAAGGCAGAAAUGAAAAGCAAGCCAGUCUUUACCAAGAAUUAAGCACUAGAGAAAUUGUAUCAACCAGGUAUUGUGAUGAAGCUUGUUUAAGAAUGUUAGGUUUGUAUGAUAGUGUCAAUUUUAUGCUUGAUUCUCUCCAUCUCAAUUAUUUCCUAUCACAAGCUAACCCAGUUUAUGUUCAAUUGACACUUGAAUUCCUAAGUUCACUCAAAAUUUCCACUGUCCCUAAUUCAAACAGUACUAGUGGGACUAUAAAUUUUAGAAUGUUUAAU
RNAcentral lists this long non-coding RNA (393 nucleotides) under Trifolium pratense (red clover). RNAcentral's name for it is "long non-coding RNA (TPRA_LNC009423)". The record is from RNAcentral. Lineage: Eukaryota; Viridiplantae; Streptophyta; Magnoliopsida; Fabales; Fabaceae.